GGGUUUUGCUAUGAAGUUCAGACUGUCCUGGAACUCACUUUGUAGGCCAGGCUGGCCUUGAAGUUGCAGCAAUCCUUCUGCCUCAGCCUCCUGAGUGCUGGGAUUACAGGCAUGCACCAUCACACCCAGUUCAAUCCAUGUUUUUGAGAAGGAGGCAAGAGAGAAAUGACAGCUUCACAGAAGCAGGCUGGACCCUCUUGCAUGAACCGCACCAAAUUUCUCAUACCUUCUCAGAAAGAAUGCCAUGGGAUUACCGUGGGAAAAGAUAUUUGAAAUAUCAAGUCUCAGAACAGGAUAUUGGAGCCCGGAAAUCUUCAUUCAUCCCAAGGCGAAGUGAAUGACUGGGAGGAGCGCUGCUUGAGCAGAUAUGGUAGAGAAACCGGGAGAAAUUACAAGAGCAGUGAUGUAGACCUAGAGUGGUAGUGAAGACAGGAAGCUAUCUAGUCACUAUGCCUCCAGCCAGAAACUGAAGGAAUUCCACUGUGGUGGCCACAUCCUCGAUUUAUGAGGACGUCUUCUGCAAAUGGGAAGUGGAUCAAUGGAUAGAUGGGUGGCUGUGAAAAGAAUUAAAAUGUGCUAUGUUCAUGUACCGAUCCCCCAUGAUAAAUGCAGUCAUCAUCUGUUGCAGACAUGUACUAAUAAAGAGAAAAACUUUAAAAAUGCUA
Molecule: long non-coding RNA, 665 nt
Filed under: Chinchilla lanigera (long-tailed chinchilla)
Lineage: Eukaryota; Metazoa; Chordata; Mammalia; Rodentia; Chinchillidae
Description: lncRNA (ENSCLAG00000028801.1)
Source: RNAcentral